GACGAACGCUGGCGGCGUGCUUAACACAUGCAAGUCGAACGGAAAGGCCCUGCUUUUGUGGGGUGCUCGAGUGGCGAACGGGUGAGUAACACGUGAGUAACCUGCCCUUGACUUUGGGAUAACUUCAGGAAACUGGGGCUAAUACCGGAUAGGAGCUCCUGCUGCAUGGUGGGGGUUGGAAAGUUUCGGCGGUUGGGGAUGGACUCGCGGCUUAUCAGCUUGUUGGUGGGGUAGUGGCCUACCAAGGCUUUGACGGGUAGCCGGCCUGAGAGGGUGACCGGCCACAUUGGGACUGAGGUACGGCCCAGGCGCCUACGGGAGGCAGCAGUGGGGAAUAUUGCACAAUGGGCGGCAGCCUGAUGCAGCAACGCCGCGUGCUGGAUGACGGCCUUCGGGUUGUAAACCGCUUUCGCCUGUGACGAAGCGUGAGUGACGGUAAUGGGUAAAGAAGCACCGGCUAACUACGUG
This 468-nucleotide ribosomal RNA is filed under the name uncultured bacterium. RNAcentral describes it as "partial 16S ribosomal RNA". It matches the Rfam family "Bacterial small subunit ribosomal RNA", at positions 28 to 507 of the family's 1533-position model. The record is from RNAcentral.